GGGGGGGGGGGGGGGGGGGCCGAGCGGGGGCAAGGCGAGGGGGGGAGGGGAGCUGGCUCCUGGAUUCAGCGGCGGGCGGGUGAGUAAUGCCUAGGAAUCUGCCUGGUAGUGGGGGAUAACGUCCGGAAACGGGCGCUAAUACCGCAUACGUCCUGAGGGAGAAAGUGGGGGAUCUUCGGACCUCACGCUAUCAGAUGAGCCUAGGUCGGAUUAGCUAGUUGGUGGGGUAAAGGCCUACCAAGGCGACGAUCCGUAACUGGUCUGAGAGGAUGAUCAGUCACACUGGAACUGAGACACGGUCCAGACUCCUACGGGAGGCAGCAGUGGGGAAUAUUGGACAAUGGGCGAAAGCCUGAUCCAGCCAUGCCGCGUGUGUGAAGAAGGUCUUCGGAUUGUAAAGCACUUUAAGUUGGGAGGAAGGGCAGUAAGUUAAUACCUUGCUGUUUUGACGUUACCAACAGAAUAAGCACCGGCUAACUUCGUG
Molecule: ribosomal RNA, 484 nt
Filed under: uncultured bacterium
Lineage: Bacteria
Description: partial 16S ribosomal RNA
Rfam family: Bacterial small subunit ribosomal RNA
Source: RNAcentral